This 78-nucleotide transfer RNA is filed under the name Algoriphagus sp. A40. RNAcentral describes it as "tRNA-Val". It matches the Rfam family "tRNA". From Rfam's summary of the family: Transfer RNA (tRNA) molecules are approximately 80 nucleotides in length. Their secondary structure includes four short double-helical elements and three loops (D, anti-codon, and T loops). The record is from RNAcentral. Lineage: Bacteria; Pseudomonadati; Bacteroidota; Cytophagia; Cytophagales; Cyclobacteriaceae.
GGGAUCUUAGCUCAGUUGGUUUAGAGCGCUGCUUUGACAGAGCAGAGGUCAUGGGUUCGAAUCCCUUAGGUCCCACAA